CUCUUGGGUGUAGUGUGACCCUUCUCAGCUGCCUCCAGUUUGAACCUCUCGGCCUGAGGUGUCUACCCUUGGCCCAGAGAAUAGUCCAGAGGCCCAGCGAUGUGGUCCACCUUUGAAAGACCGUGAAGUCUCCAAAGCUGACCAGACUGAGCAUCAAGAGAAGAACUUUGAAGUGAAACCCGGAAGCUCAACGGGAAGAAGGAGGGCAAAGGAAAUGAAAACCAGAGAUUUGAGAAGAAAGACCGGAAACUUGGCAGUGCCCUCUCCAAGCCAGGCCAGCAGUUUUAUUGCAGGCCGUCUGCGUUCCAGGUGCGGGGUGGGCAUGACUGUCCUCUGGCGACUGCUCUGCUGUGUCGGAUGAAGUCUCCAGCGUUUACAAAACCAAUCAAAGUGGCAUUAGCAUGUCCACGCAUGUGUGCACACACACACACACACACA
This 438-nucleotide long non-coding RNA is filed under the name Sus scrofa (pig). Its description in RNAcentral is "lncRNA (ENSSSCG00070005491.1)". Lineage: Eukaryota; Metazoa; Chordata; Mammalia; Artiodactyla; Suidae. The record is from RNAcentral.